RNAcentral lists this ribosomal RNA (468 nucleotides) under uncultured bacterium. RNAcentral describes it as "partial 16S ribosomal RNA". It matches the Rfam family "Bacterial small subunit ribosomal RNA", at positions 28 to 507 of the family's 1533-position model. The record is from RNAcentral.
GACGAACGCUGGCGGCGUGCUUAACACAUGCAAGUCGAACGGAAAGGCCCUGCUUUUGUGGGGUGCUCGAGUGGCGAACGGGUGAGUAACACGUGAGUAACCUGCCCUUGACUUUGGGAUAACUUCAGGAAACUGGGGCUAAUACCGGAUAGGAGCUCCUGCUGCAUGGUGGGGGUUGGAAAGUUUCGGCGGUUGGGGAUGGACUCGCGGCUUAUCAGCUUGUUGGUGGGGUAGUGGCUUACCAAGGCUUUGACGGGUAGCCGGCCUGGGAGGGUGACCGGCCACAUGGGGCCUGAGGUACGGCGCAGAGUGCUACGGUGGGCAGCGGGGGGGAGUAUUGCACAAUGGGAGGGAGCGUGAUACAGCGACGCCCGGUGCGGGAUGACGGCCUGCGGGGUGUGAACCGCUUUAGCCUGAGACGAAGCGGGAGUGACGGUAAUGGGUAAAGAAGCACCGGCUAACUACGUG